UACGUAGGGUGCGAGCGUUGUCCGGAAUUAUUGGGCGUAAAGAGCUCGUAGGCGGUGUGUCACGUCGGCCGUGAAAACCUGGGGCUUAACUCUGGGCGUGCGGUCGAUACGGGCAUCACUAGAGUUCGGUAGGGGAGACUGGAAUUCCUGGUGUAGCGGUGAAAUGCGCAGAUAUCAGGAGGAACACCGGUGGCGAAGGCGGGUCUCUGGGCCGAAACUGACGCUGAGGAGCGAAAGCGUGGGGAGCAAACAGG
This 254-nucleotide ribosomal RNA is filed under the name uncultured bacterium. Its description in RNAcentral is "partial 16S ribosomal RNA". It matches the Rfam family "Bacterial small subunit ribosomal RNA", at positions 524 to 776 of the family's 1533-position model. The record is from RNAcentral.